GACGAACGCUGGCGGCGUGCCUAAUACAUGCAAGUCGAACGCAGUGGGGACGGGUGAGUAACACGUGGGUAACCUCCCAUAAGAGGGGAGAACCCGUGGAAACAGGUGCUAAACCGAUACUGAUGGAGGGACCCGCGGUGGAUUAGCUAGUGGGUGGGGUAACGGCUUACCAAGGCCACGAUGCAUAGCCGUCCUGAGAGGAGGAUCAGCCACACUGGGACUGAGACACGGCCCAGACUCCUACGGGAGGCAGCAGUGGGGAAUAUUGCACAAUGGGCGCAAGCCUGAUGCAGCCAUGCCGCGUGUAUGAAGAAGGCCCUAGGGUUGUAAAGUACUUUCAGUCGGGAGGCGUUACCGACAGAAGAAGCACCGGCUAACUCCGUGCCAGCAGCCGCGGUAAUAC
RNAcentral lists this ribosomal RNA (403 nucleotides) under uncultured bacterium. Its description in RNAcentral is "partial 16S ribosomal RNA". It matches the Rfam family "Bacterial small subunit ribosomal RNA", at positions 28 to 526 of the family's 1533-position model. The record is from RNAcentral.